GUUUCGGUAAGAAAUCUAACGUUACUUUCGACGUUAUAAGGAGUAUUUUUAUAUAAAAAAAUUUAAUAUGAUAAUUAUUUUAUCUUUUUUGCAUGUCUCUGUAUUCAAAUGAGUCGAAUUGUCUGAUUUUCAAGCAUGAUGUGUGAUUUACUGACACUUGGUGAAUUUGCAUGUGAUAAAUGUAAUAUGUAGCACGUGAUAAUAAAAAAAAGAAAAAAAAAGAGAAAAAUUGAAUGAAGCAUGUAUGGUUUGAAGUGUAUCUGUAUUGAUAUGCAUAUUGUAUCAAGUGUUUCGUUAGGCUUUCUAUCUCUGAAGGAUAUAUGUUCCCCUUACCCUUCAGGGUAUCUGUUUCCCCCUCCCUAUCUGGUCUGAAAAAACGUAAGAGAACCACUCCUAG
RNAcentral lists this long non-coding RNA (397 nucleotides) under Carica papaya (papaya). RNAcentral's name for it is "long non-coding RNA (CPAP_LNC012686)". The record is from RNAcentral. Lineage: Eukaryota; Viridiplantae; Streptophyta; Magnoliopsida; Brassicales; Caricaceae.